This 207-nucleotide ribosomal RNA is filed under the name uncultured bacterium. RNAcentral's name for it is "partial 16S ribosomal RNA". It matches the Rfam family "Bacterial small subunit ribosomal RNA", at positions 568 to 774 of the family's 1533-position model. The record is from RNAcentral.
CGCGUAGGCGGGUUUUUAAGUCGGGUGUGAAAUCCUUCGGCUCAACCGAAGAACUGCACUUGAAACUGGAAAUCUUGAGUGUCGGAGAGGGAAGCGGAAUUCCUAGUGUAGCGGUGAAAUGCGUAGAUAUUAGGAGGAACACCAGUGGCGAAGGCGGCUUUCUGGACGAUAACUGACGCUGAGGCGCGAAAGCGUGGGGAGCAAACA